GGGCUCGUGGCUUAGUUGGUAGAGCACCUCCAUGGCAUGGAGGGGGUCAGGGGUUCGAAUCCCCUCGAGUCCA
This 73-nucleotide transfer RNA is filed under the name Candidatus Parcubacteria bacterium. Its description in RNAcentral is "tRNA-Ala". It matches the Rfam family "tRNA". From Rfam's summary of the family: Transfer RNA (tRNA) molecules are approximately 80 nucleotides in length. Their secondary structure includes four short double-helical elements and three loops (D, anti-codon, and T loops). Further hydrogen bonds mediate the characteristic L-shaped molecular structure. tRNAs have two regions of fundamental functional importance: the anti-codon, which is responsible for specific mRNA codon recognition, and the 3' end, to which the tRNAs corresponding amino acid is attached (by aminoacyl-tRNA synthetases). tRNAs cope with the degeneracy of the genetic code in two manners: having more than one tRNA (with a specific anti-codon) for a particular amino acid; and 'wobble' base-pairing, i.e. permitting non-standard base-pairing at the 3rd anti-codon position. Lineage: Bacteria; Candidatus Parcubacteria. The record is from RNAcentral.